Molecule: ribosomal RNA, 460 nt
Filed under: uncultured bacterium
Lineage: Bacteria
Description: partial 16S ribosomal RNA
Rfam family: Bacterial small subunit ribosomal RNA
Source: RNAcentral
CCUACGGGAGGCAGCAGUGAGGAAUAUUGGUCAAUGGACGAGAGUCUGAACCAGCCAAGUAGCGUGAAGGAUGACUGCCCUAUGGGUUGUAAACUUCUUUUAUAUGGGAAUAAAAUGUUCCACGUGUGGGAUUUUGUAUGUACCAUAUGAAUAAGGAUCGGCUAACUCCGUGCCAGCAGCCGCGGUAAUACGGAGGAUCCGAGCGUUAUCCGGAUUUAUUGGGGUUAAAGGGAGCGUAGGUGGAUUGUUAAGUCAGUUGUGAAAGUUUGCGUCUCAACCGUAAAAUUGCAGUUGAAACUGGCAGUCUUGAGUACAGUAGAGGUGGGCGGAAUUCGUGGUGUAGCGGUGAAAUGCUUAGAUAUCACGAAGAACUCCGAUUGCGAAGGCAGUUCACUGGACUGCAACUGACACUGAGGCUCGAAAGUGUGGGUAUCAAACAGGAUUAGAUACCCUAGUAGUC